Long non-coding RNA from Labrus bergylta (ballan wrasse), 464 nucleotides. RefSeq lists it as uncharacterized. Lineage: Eukaryota; Metazoa; Chordata; Actinopteri; Labriformes; Labridae. The record is from RefSeq and is a predicted model, not a curated record.
CUGAAACCGAAGGAGAGGAUGAACAACCAUCACAACCUUUGCCACGACGGCUGGAGCAGGACGUUUCAGUGUGCAAAAUGCCUACAGAAGCAGAAAAGGUGUGCUGCAGAGAAAUACCACAGGUCAUUUUUACAAGUACGCUGUACAGGGGUGUAACACCUGUUCCUUCCACCUGCAUGACUCAACAUCCGGGGCUAGAAGCAAACAGUCUUAACCCAUAUACACUCCAAAAUAUACACAACAUUCUUCAGAGUGGACUACGGGCCUUUGAGAGGGAGAACAGCAGAAGAGCUUUACAGACACUUGGCCUAUCGUAGCUGUGUGAGCUGGUGCUGGGGAUAUUUGGGACGCAACUGCAGAGUAGUCAUCCCGUCGUGUGUUGUCCUGAGGAUCCGGCUUGAGUUUCCAGACCCGACCGGACAUUAUCUUGGCUUCCGCCCGCCCCUUGGCUGAACCUGGACUUG